Molecule: ribosomal RNA, 696 nt
Filed under: uncultured bacterium
Lineage: Bacteria
Description: bacterial SSU rRNA
Rfam family: Bacterial small subunit ribosomal RNA
Source: RNAcentral
AGUCGAGCGGAGAUGAGGUGCUUGCACCUUAUCUUAGCGGCGGACGGGUGAGUAAUGCUUAGGAAUCUGCCUAUUAGUGGGGGACAACAUUCCGAAAGGAAUGCUAAUACCGCAUACGUCCUACGGGAGAAAGCAGGGGAUCUUCGGACCUUGCGCUAAUAGACGAGCCUAAGUCGGAUUAGCUAGUUGGUGGGGUAAAGGCCUACCAAGGCGACGAUCUGUAGCGGGUCUGAGAGGAUGAUCCGCCACACUGGGACUGAGACACGGCCCAGACUCCUACGGGAGGCAGCAGUGGGGAAUAUUGGACAAUGGGGGGAACCCUGAUCCAGCCAUGCCGCGUGUGUGAAGAAGGCCUUAUGGUUGUAAAGCACUUUAAGCGAGGAGGAGGCUACUGAGACUAAUACUCUUGGAUAGUGGACGUUACUCGCAGAAUAAGCACCGGCUAACUCUGUGCCAGCAGCCGCGGUAAUACAGAGGGUGCGAGCGUUAAUCGGAUUUACUGGGCGUAAAGCGUGCGUAGGCGGCUUUUUAAGUCGGAUGUGAAAUCCCCGAGCUUAACUUGGGAAUUGCAUUCGAUACUGGGAAGCUAGAGUAUGGGAGAGGAUGGUAGAAUUCCAGGUGUAGCGGUGAAAUGCGUAGAGAUCUGGAGGAAUACCGAUGGCGAAGGCAGCCAUCUGGCCUAAUACUGACGCUGAG